GCUUCUAAGCUAUGCGUAUAAGCAUGAGACUUCUGGCUUCUUCCUUGGAAGUACUUUCCACAAACAAGGCAUGCAUAUACAUUCAGAUUGGACAAGGACACAGAGCAAAACCUCUCAAAAUGAAAAUCCAACACCUGAAAUUCAACCAUAAGAUAUGAGUUUAAACGCUAAUCUGAUAGAUAUGGACUCAACGGAUACUAAGAACAAGAGUAAAAACAGAGUAAACUAAUUCUAUUGCGCCGUUUUUGACGGAGAACAAGAUGAGAAGAGAAUUAAUAACUUUAAUGUUAUAAGUUUUGAUGAUUGUUUUUGGUAAGGUUGCCCUAAAGAGGCAAAGACCUUUAAAUACAACUCGAAAUAGACAAAAUGCUGAGUUUAAUAAAAGAUAGAGAGAUGGUGAAAGACUCUAGAUGAACAAGAGUCUUUCUAUGCCUUCUUCUUUCCUUCGUCUCUUAGCCACUUUUCUUCAAGACCUUUUUCAAAUACUUCUCCAUAGCUUUAGCUUUUCUCCCGCCAGUUCUCAUUCUCUUUCUCAUAGUAGCUAGUGGAACCCUUAGCCUAUCAAUGCUCCCUCGCAGAAGACCGAUCUUGUCCUCAAGAUCGAAGCUCGGGAAUUGCUUCACUAGAGUCACUAAUGGCUCCCACGUUGCCUCCAAAGCUGACAUGCCACUCCAUUGAACCAAGACGUCGGCACCGUCUGUUGUUCUACUCUGUCUGAUAUCCAGAAGCUUUUCUGGCUCCGUCGCCCACUCUAAAGAAGGAGUCACAAUCUUGGGCAGUUCUUGAGCAGUGAAAGAGGGAGGAACCGCUGGUUUCAGCUGGGACACAUGGAACACCGGAUGAAUUUGACUGUAAUCCGGUAGCCUGAGUUUGUAUGCGACCUUACCAAUCUUGCUAAUCACCUGGUAGGGUCCAUAGUAUCGCUGCGAGAGCUUCUCGUUUUUUCUGUGUACCAACGACCCUUGUCGAUACGGCCUCAGUUUUAAGUAGACCAAAUCGCCCUCCUUGAACUCAACAUCUCUCCUGUGUUUGUCCGCGACUUUCUUCAUUUGUUUCUGAGCUAGCUCCAAGUUUUCUCUCAGCUCUAGCAACAACCCAUCUCUGUCCUUGAGUAAUUCUUCGACGACUGCAUUUGCUGUAGGUGUGUCCCCAUAUCUGAGAAUUGCUGGGGGCUCUCUUCCAUAAACCGCCAUGAAUGGGGUCGUCUUUGUUGCAGUGUGAUAAGAGGUGUUAUACCAGUACUCGGCCCAAGGUAGCCAUUGCAUCCAAGAAGAGGGUCGUCGGCCUGCAAAGCAUCUCAAAAAUGACUCCAAGCACCUAUUAACAACUUCUGUCUGCCCAUCCGUUUGGGGGUGGUAGGCAGUACUCUUUCUCAAUUCAGUGCCGUGUAUCUUGAAUAAUUCAGACCAGAAGGUGCUGAGGAAGACCUUGUCUCUAUCAGACACCAUUGUAGUUGGAAACCCAUGCAACUUAACAACAUCUCUUAUAAAGGCCUCUGCUACCACCUUUGCAGUAAACGGGUGCUUCAACGGAAUAAAGUGACUGUAUUUGCUUAGCCUAUCCACGACCACCAAGAUGCAGUUGAAUCCUUUCGAAGACGGUAAUCCUUGUACAAAAUCCAAGCUAAUAUCGCUCCAAAUCUGUUGUGGAAUGGGGAAUGGGGAGAGCAAACCCGCGGGUGACAAGGUGGAGUACUUGUUCUCUUGACAGAUUUGGCAUCCUCGAAUGUAUUCCACUGUAUCUUUUCGCAUGCCCUUCCAAUAGACCUCACUAGUGAGUCUCUUGAAAGUCUUCAACGCUCCUUCGUGGCCACCCAUUGCACUAGUGUGAAACUUCUCUAGUAGCUUUGGAAUGAAGGGAGAUCCUGUAGGGAUAACCAAGGCUCCCUUCCUGUAAACCAACCCAGCUUUCACUGAAAAUUCAGAUUCUGUACUCUGCCCUUGUUGCCAAGUAUCAACCAACUGACGCAACUCUUUAUCAGCCAUGAUUUCUUCUUUUAAAGCGCCAAUAUCUAUUGUUUGUGGAGCCGUUAAGGUGAACUGAGCAAACCUUUCCUGCGGUGGUUUCCUAGAGAGAGCAUCGGCCACUUUGUUGUCGACUCCAGGUUUGUAUUCUAUGCGAUACUUCAACCCACUUAGCUUAGAAGCCCAACGUUGUUGAAUAGUUGAUACAGACUUUUGUUCCAAGAGAUGCCUUAGACUUCUCUGAUCUGUCUUAAUAACAAACUCCUUGCUGGACAGAUAAUGUUUCCACUUAGUCAUUGCUCUCACAAUCGCCAACAAUUCUCUUUCAUACACAGAUUUAAUCCGACCUUGACUUGAAAAUGCCUGGCUCAAGAACGCUAUAGGCCUUCUGUUUUGGGACAACACAGCCCCUAUUCCAACCCCAGAAGCGUCCGUCUCCACUGUAAACUCUUGAUUAAAGUCAGGUAAGACCAAUACUGGCAGAUUCGUGACUGCUUCCUUCAGUGCCUGAAACGCUUUUGUGGCU
RNAcentral lists this small RNA (2490 nucleotides) under Arabidopsis thaliana (thale cress). RNAcentral's name for it is "ATSL226510". The record is from RNAcentral. Lineage: Eukaryota; Viridiplantae; Streptophyta; Magnoliopsida; Brassicales; Brassicaceae.